Molecule: small RNA, 107 nt
Filed under: Marmota monax (woodchuck)
Lineage: Eukaryota; Metazoa; Chordata; Mammalia; Rodentia; Sciuridae
Source: RNAcentral
GCUGGGCGUGGUGGCACAUGCCUAUAAUCCCAGCAUCUCAGGAGGCUGAGGCAGGAGGAUCGCUUCAGUAAAAGCAAAGGGCUAAGCACAGUGACACCCUGUUUCUA